Molecule: RNA transcript, 1903 nt
Organism: Triticum dicoccoides
Lineage: Eukaryota; Viridiplantae; Streptophyta; Magnoliopsida; Poales; Poaceae
Exons: 7
Source: RefSeq, a predicted model, not a curated record
ACCAAUCCCUCGCUAGCCCUACCUCGUCUCUCGUCUCCAGUCGCAGCCGCCGCCGCACCCCAAUCUAACCCCGCCACCCGCGAUCUCCUCGUCCCCCUGCGCCGCCGCCCCCAACCUUCUAUUCCUCUCCCAAGGGAAUCCCAAGAGAAGGGAAAGGAAGGCAAGGGGAGGGAAGGGAAGGGAGAGGGAGCACCCAGAUCCACGGCGGCAUCAGCGCGCCGUCGUCGACCUGAUCCGCGUCCGUCCUCCGAGGGAGGUCCGACAUGGAGGUCCGACCCGGCCCGGCAGCAGCCAUGGACGGACGGAGACGCCCCAAACCCUACCCUCAAGGACAACGCCUCAACCUUCAAGGACGCGCGCCGGCGACCGCGGAUCUCCGUUGACGGCUAUGGAUGACUGCCCCGGAUCUGGACGCACAACCUGCAGCUGCAGCAGCAGCAGGACGACUGAACGCACGAGCCCUCCCUCCCUCCCUCAUGGCUCUGCUUACUCCUACGGUCCUACCCUGCCCCCCUCACGUGGGCGUGGUGAGCUUCCUACCCCCGUGCACAUCUCAUCUCAUCUCAUCAAAUCUAGAUUGCUCUGGACGUAUUUAUUGUUCUGGACACAACUUGGUUCUCUUCAGUAUGAUGUCACUCCUUUCCUGCCGGAGUGAGUCAGUCAAAUGCUCCUACUAGUAGUAUAAGAUGUUUGCUGACUUUGAAAAUGAUAGAUAGUAAAAAAAUGCUAAUGAGGUUGUGCAGCGGCGGACGUAUGACUGCUACCUGCACAAGCGGAUGGCCCUGCGAGCCGGACCAACCUCCAGCUGCUGUGGCGUACCACGGGCAGAUUUAUCCCAACGAGGAAACAAGGAGCCCAAAAAUUAAAUUAAAACAAAUCGAUGCCAACAGCGAUGGGGACCAUGACGCUUGAAGAUAUGGAGGCGACAAAUGUGUGCCGAUCCCUUCUUGGUGAUAACUCUAGCCGAGCCCCUCUUGGUGACAUUCCUAAUCUUGAGCAUCCUUCCCGAAUGACUCCAGUGCCAGUGCCAGAUCCAAGGCAUGGAGAACUCCAAGGAGUUUGCUGACAAGCUGUUCGGGAUAUGUCGAGGCAGAGGAACAUUGAGCCAGAUGAAGGCAUUAACAAGGAUCGGCUCAGAGAGGUGGAACAUGAACAUUGAUGGGAUGCUCACAGAAGAUGAGGUCAAGAUGGUGGCUACACAAAUGAUCACAGAGAAGACUACUGCUGGUGUUGAGGAGUCCGAAGCAAAAGCGGCCCUCAUUGGGCUGCAUGCUCUCAAGGAUAUACAGGGCCCCGUGAUUUUGGAACUGCCAUGGACUGCCAAAUUCGGAUUAAGGAACUGAUGACAGGGAAGCAGUCCCUCUCCCCCUGCUAUGGACUGCUAAGAGACAUCAAGCAAGCACUAACAAACUUCUCGGAUCACAGUAUUAGUAGCGUGGGGAGAUUGUGCAAUGCCCUUGCUGAUGGGCUUGCAGCGUUGGCCAGGAAUUCGGAAGACCAGGAGAGGAUUGCGGACGUACCGGACUGCCUCCGCCCGCUUAUGAUCUCUGAAUUUGUGGUUUCAGCACAGUAGCUUUACUACUCUGAAUCUCAAAAAGAAAAAAGGUUGUGCCUCUCCCUGGCCUCAAAGUUGUCGUCGCCGUCUGCUUCCUCGCCCUCGAAGAGCCUCCAUGAUGCCGGACCCCCGCCACCCCUGCGUCAAGCCACCGACAACUGAAGCCAACAGGACCUCGCGCCCCAGCCCCAUGAGAUGAGCUUCUCCCGUGGUCUUGCUCUCGCGCCGCCGUCGUCCCGCGAGUCACCGACCACCUCGCCGGAGAUGAGCACCGCUGCGGAUCCGGCCGGAACGGGACCGGAUUGGGCACCCGCGCCCGGAUCAACGCGUCCCUGCGUCCGUCGUUGU